AUACUUACCUGUCAGGGAAGAUACCAUGAUCACAAAGGUGUUUUUCCCAGGGCGAGUCUUAUCCAUUGCACUCUGGAUGAGCUGAUCCCUGUGAUUCCCCCAAAUUCCGGAACUCAGCUGCAUUAUGUGUGGUAGUGAGGGAUUGUGUUCCCACUUUCCCCUG
This is a small nuclear RNA of Mesocricetus auratus (golden hamster), 163 nucleotides long. Its record names the gene U1. It matches the Rfam family "U1 spliceosomal RNA". From Rfam's summary of the family: U1 is a small nuclear RNA (snRNA) component of the spliceosome (involved in pre-mRNA splicing). Its 5' end forms complementary base pairs with the 5' splice junction, thus defining the 5' donor site of an intron. There are significant differences in sequence and secondary structure between metazoan and yeast U1 snRNAs, the latter being much longer (568 nucleotides as compared to 164 nucleotides in human). The record is from Ensembl. NCBI's taxonomy places the organism in Eukaryota, Metazoa, Chordata, Mammalia, Rodentia, Cricetidae.